GCUGGCGGCGUGCCUAAUACAUGCAAGUCGAACGAGUUCUGAUUAUUGAAGGGUGCUUGCAUCUUGAUUUAAUUUUGAACGAGUGGCGGACGGGUGAGUAACACGUGGGUAACCUGCCCUUAAGUGGGGGAUAACAUUUGGAAACAGAUGCUAAUACCGCAUAAAUCCAAGAACCGCAUGGUUCUUGGCUGAAAGAUGGCGUAAGCUAUCGCUUUUGGAUGGACCCGCGGCGUAUUAGCUAGUUGGUGAGGUAACGGCUCACCAAGGCAAUGAUACGUAGCCGAACUGAGAGGUUGAUCGGCCACAUUGGGACUGAGACACGGCCCAAACUCCUACGGGAGGCAGCAGUAGGGAAUCUUCCACAAUGGACGCAAGUCUGAUGGAGCAACGCCGCGUGAGUGAAGAAGGCUUUCGGGUCGUAAAACUCUGUUGUUGGAGAAGAAUGGUCGGCAGAGUAACUGUUGUCGGCGUGACGGUAUCCAACCAGAAAGCCACGGCUAACUACGUGCCAGCAGCCGCGGUAAUACGUAGGUGGCAAGCGUUAUCCGGAUUUAUUGGGCGUAAAGCGAGCGCAGGCGGUUUUUUAAGUCUGAUGUGAAAGCCCUCGGCUUAACCGAGGAAGUGCAUCGGAAACUGGGAAACUUGAGUGCAGAAGAGGACAGUGGAACUCCAUGUGUAGCGGUGAAAUGCGUAGAUAUAUGGAAGAACACCAGUGGCGAAGGCGGCUGUCUGGUCUGUAACUGACGCUGAGGCUCGAAAGCAUGGGUAGCGAACAGGAUUAGAUACCCUGGUAGUCCAUGCCGUAAACGAUGAAUGCUAGGUGUUGGAGGGUUUCCGCCCUUCAGUGCCGCAGCUAACGCAUUAAGCAUUCCGCCUGGGGAGUACGACCGCAAGGUUGAAACUCAAAGGAAUUGACGGGGGCCCGCACAAGCGGUGGAGCAUGUGGUUUAAUUCGAAGCAACGCGAAGAACCUUACCAGGUCUUGACAUCUUUUGAUCACCUGAGAGAUCAGGUUUCCCCUUCGGGGGCAAAAUGACAGGUGGUGCAUGGUUGUCGUCAGCUCGUGUCGUGAGAUGUUGGGUUAAGUCCCGCAACGAGCGCAACCCUUAUGACUAGUUGCCAGCAUUUAGUUGGGCACUCUAGUAAGACUGCCGGUGACAAACCGGAGGAAGGUGGGGAUGACGUCAAAUCAUCAUGCCCCUUAUGACCUGGGCUACACACGUGCUACAAUGGAUGGUACAACGAGUUGCGAGACCGCGAGGUCAAGCUAAUCUCUUAAAGCCAUUCUCAGUUCGGACUGUAGGCUGCAACUCGCCUACACGAAGUCGGAAUCGCUAGUAAUCGCGGAUCAGCACGCCGCGGUGAAUACGUUCCCGGGCCUUGUACACACCGCCCGUCACACCAUGAGAGUUUGUAACACCCGAAGCCGGUGGCGUAACCCUUUUAGGGAGCGAGCCGUCUAAGGUGGACAAAUGAUAGGGGGG
RNAcentral lists this ribosomal RNA (1484 nucleotides) under Lacticaseibacillus rhamnosus. Its description in RNAcentral is "bacterial SSU rRNA". It matches the Rfam family "Bacterial small subunit ribosomal RNA". The record is from RNAcentral. Lineage: Bacteria; Bacillati; Bacillota; Bacilli; Lactobacillales; Lactobacillaceae.